CCAGACUCCUACGGGAGGCAGCAGUGGGGAAUAUUGGACAAUGGGGGGAACCCUGAUCCAGCGACGCCGCGUGAGUGAAGAAGUAUUUCGGUAUGUAAAGCUCUAUCAGCAGGGAAGAAAGAAAUGACGGUACCUGACUAAGAAGCCCCGGCUAACUACGUGCCAGCAGCCGCGGUAAUACGUAGGGGGCAAGCGUUAUCCGGAUUUACUGGGUGUAAAGGGAGCGUAGACGGCGAUGCAAGUCUGAAGUGAAAGGCGGGGGCCCAACCCCGGGACUGCUCUGGAAACUGCGUCGCUGGAGUACGGGAGGGGCAGGCGGAAUUCCUGGUGUAGCGGUGAAAUGCGUAGAUAUCAGGAGGAACACCGGCGGCGAAGGCGGCCUGCUGGACCGUGACUGACGUUGAGGCUCGAGAGCGUGGGGAGCAAACAGGAUUAGAUACCCCCGUAG
This 448-nucleotide ribosomal RNA is filed under the name uncultured bacterium. Its description in RNAcentral is "bacterial SSU rRNA". It matches the Rfam family "Bacterial small subunit ribosomal RNA", at positions 331 to 793 of the family's 1533-position model. The record is from RNAcentral.